This 403-nucleotide ribosomal RNA is filed under the name uncultured bacterium. RNAcentral describes it as "bacterial SSU rRNA". It matches the Rfam family "Bacterial small subunit ribosomal RNA", at positions 361 to 776 of the family's 1533-position model. The record is from RNAcentral.
AUAUUGCGCAAUGGGCGGAAGCCUGACGCAGCGACGCCGCGUGAGGGACGAAGGCCUUCGGGUUGUAAACCUCUUUCAGCAGGGACGAAGCGAGAGUGACGGUACCUGCAGAAGAAGCACCGGCUAACUACGUGCCAGCAGCCGCGGUAAUACGUAGGGUGCGAGCGUUGUCCGGAUUUAUUGGGCGUAAAGAGCUCGUAGGCGGUUUGUUACGUCGAUUGUGAAAACCCAGGGCUCAACUCUGGGCUUGCAGUCGAUACGGGCAGACUAGAGUUCGGCAGGGGAGACUGGAAUUCCUGGUGUAGCGGUGAAAUGCGCAGAUAUCAGGAGGAACACCGGUGGCGAAGGCGGGUCUCUGGGCCGAUACUGACGCUGAGGAGCGAAAGCGUGGGGAGCGAACAGG